GACGAGCGCUGGCGGCGUGCCUAAUACAUGCAAGUUGAGCGCUGAAGGUUGGUACUUGUACCGACUGGAUGAGCAGCGAACGGGUGAGUAACGCGUGGGGAAUCUGCCUUUGAGCGGGGGACAACAUUUGGAAACGAAUGCUAAUACCGCAUAAAAACUUUAAACACAAGUUUUAAGUUUGAAAGAUGCAAUUGCAUCACUCAAAGAUGAUCCCGCGUUGUAUUAGCUAGUUGGUGAGGUAAAGGCUCACCAAGGCGAUGAUAUAUAGCCGACCUGAGAGGGUGAUCGGCCACAGUGGGACUGAGACACGGCCCAAACACAUACGGGAGGCAGCAGUAGGGAAUCUUCGGCAAUGGACGAAAGUCUGACCGAGCAACGCCGCGUGAGUGAAGAAGGUUUUCGGAUCGUAAAACUCUGUUGGUAGAGAAGAACGGUGGUGAGAGUGGAAAGCGCAUCAAGUGACGGUAACUACCCAGAAAGGGACGGCUAACUACGUG
This 497-nucleotide ribosomal RNA is filed under the name uncultured bacterium. RNAcentral's name for it is "partial 16S ribosomal RNA". It matches the Rfam family "Bacterial small subunit ribosomal RNA", at positions 28 to 507 of the family's 1533-position model. The record is from RNAcentral.